CGCAACCCCUACUGCUAGUUGCCAGCGGGUCAUGCCGGGGACUCUAGCGGAACUGCCAGCGUAAGCUGCGAGGAAGUGGGGAUGACGUCAAAUCAGCACGGCCCUUACGUCCAGGGCUACACACGUGUUACAAUGGCCAGUACAGAGGGCAGCCACCCCGCGAGGGGGCGCUAAUCCUAAAAGCUGGUCCCAGUUCGGAUCGGAGUCUGCAACCCGACUCCGUGAAGCUGGAUUCGCUAGUAAUCGCGCAUCAGCCACGGCGCGGUGAAUACGUUCCCGGGCCUU
Molecule: ribosomal RNA, 285 nt
Filed under: uncultured Rikenellaceae bacterium
Lineage: Bacteria; Pseudomonadati; Bacteroidota; Bacteroidia; Bacteroidales; Rikenellaceae
Description: partial 16S ribosomal RNA
Rfam family: Bacterial small subunit ribosomal RNA
Source: RNAcentral